ACCCCGGCGAGGGGAGUGAAAAAGAACCUGAAACCGUGUACGUACAAGCAGUGGGAGCCUCUUAAUGGGGUGACUGCGUACCUUUUGUAUAAUGGGUCAGCGACUUAUAUUCUGUAGCAAGGUUAACCGAAUAGGGGAGCCGAAGGGAAACCGAGUCUUAACUGGGCGUUAAGUUGCAGGGUAUAGACCCGAAACCCGGUGAUCUAGCCAUGGGCAGGUUGAAGGUUGGGUAACACUAACUGGAGGACCGAACCGACUAAUGUUGAAAAAUUAGCGGAUGACUUGUGGCUGGGGGUGAAAGGCCAAUCAAACCGGGAGAUAGCUGGUUCUCCCCGAAAGCUAUUUAGGUAGCGCCUCGUGAAUUCAUCUCCGGGGGUAGAGCACUGUUUCGGCAAGGGGGUCAUCCCGACUUACCAACCCGAUGCAAACUGCGAAUACCGGAGAAUGUUAUCACGGGAGACACACGGCGGGUGCUAACGUCCGUCGUGAAGAGGGAAACAACCCAGACCGCCAGCUAAGGUCCCAAAGUCAUGGUUAAGUGGGAAACGAUGUGGGAAGGCCCAGACAGCCAGGAUGUUGGCUUAGAAGCAGCCAUCAUUUAAAGAAAGCGUAAUAGCUCACUGGUCGAGUC
RNAcentral lists this ribosomal RNA (631 nucleotides) under Escherichia coli. RNAcentral's name for it is "partial 23S ribosomal RNA". It matches the Rfam family "Bacterial large subunit ribosomal RNA", at positions 523 to 1155 of the family's 2925-position model. Lineage: Bacteria; Pseudomonadati; Pseudomonadota; Gammaproteobacteria; Enterobacterales; Enterobacteriaceae. The record is from RNAcentral.